AAUUUCACACCUGGAUGUACCCACUCGACCAAGAAUAGGGAGAAAAGAGAUUCAGAGAACUCUCCCUCUAUGCUUCCGUUCAGAGUAGUUUGCUAGACCCUGGUCAUUGCUUAAGCGAUACUCACGGGGU
Molecule: non-coding RNA, 130 nt
Organism: Ornithorhynchus anatinus (platypus)
Lineage: Eukaryota; Metazoa; Chordata; Mammalia; Monotremata; Ornithorhynchidae
Source: Rfam